GACGAACGCUGGCGGCGUGCUUAACACAUGCAAGUCGAACGGAAAGGCCCUGCUUUUGUGGGGUGCUCGAGUGGCGAACGGGUGAGUAACACGUGAGUAACCUGCCCUUGACUUUGGGAUAACUUCAGGAAACUGGGGCUAAUACCGGAUAGGAGCUCCUGCUGCAUGGUGGGGGUUGGAAAGUUUCGGCGGUUGGGGAUGGACUCGCGGCUUAUCAGCUUGUUGGUGGGGUAGUGGCUUACCAAGGCUUUGACGGGUAGCCGGCGUGAGAGGGUGACCGGCCACAUUGGGACUGAGAUACGGCCCAGACUCCUACGGGAGGCAGCAGUGGGGAAUAUUGCACAAUGGGCGGAAGCCUGAUGCAGCAACGCCGCGUGCGGGAUGACGGCCUUCGGGUUGUAAACCGCUUUCGCCUGUGACGAAGCGUGAGUGACGGUAAUGGGUAAAGAAGCACCGGCUAACUACGUG
RNAcentral lists this ribosomal RNA (468 nucleotides) under uncultured bacterium. RNAcentral's name for it is "partial 16S ribosomal RNA". It matches the Rfam family "Bacterial small subunit ribosomal RNA", at positions 28 to 507 of the family's 1533-position model. The record is from RNAcentral.